AGAGUUUGAUCCUGGCUCAGGAUGAACGCUGGCGGCAUGCCUAAUACAUGCAAGUCGAACGGGAUAUCUUCGGAUAUCCAGUGGCGAACGGGUGAGUAACACGUAGGUAACCUGCCCAUGUGCCCGGGAUAACGCCUGGAAACGGGUGCUAAAACCGGAUAGGUAUCGCUUCUGCAUGGAAGAGAUAUUAAAGGAGCUGCAAGGCUCUGAACAUGGAUGGACCUGCGGUGCAUUAGCUGGUUGGUGAGGUAACGGCCCACCAAGGCGACGAUGCAUAGCCGGCCUGAGAGGGUGAACGGCCACAUUGGGACUGAGGCACGGCCCAAACUCCUACGGGAGGCAGCAGUAGGGAAUUUUCGUCAAUGGGGGCAACCCUGAACGAGCAAUGCCGCGUGAGUGAGGAAGGUCUUCGGAUCGUAAAGCUCUGUUGCAGGAGAAAAACGGCAGAUAUAGGAAAUGACAUCCGAGUGAUGGUAACCUGCCAGAAAGUCACGGCUAACUACGUGCCAGCAGCCGCGGUAAUACGUAGGUGGCGAGCGUUAUCCGGAAUGAUUGGGCGUAAAGGGUGCGUAGGUGGCCUUAUAAGUCUGGAGUGAAAGGCGGCAGCUCAACUGCCGUAUGCUCUGGAAACUGUGAGGCUGGAGUGCAGGAGAGGGCGAUGGAACUCCAUGUGUAGCGGUAAAAUGCGUAGAUAUAUGGAAGAACACCAGUGGCGAAGGCGGUCGCCUGGCCUGUAACUGACACUGAAGCACGAAAGCGUGGGGAGCCAAUAGGAUUAAAUACCCUAGUAGUCCACGCCCUAAACGAUGAGAACUAAGUGUUGGGGGGAUAACUCAGUGCCCCAGUUAACCCAGUAAGUUUCCCCCCUGGGGAGUAUGCACGCAAGUGGGGAACCCAAAGGGAAUUGACGGGGGGCCCCCACAAGCGUGGGAAUAUGUGGUUUAAUUUCGAACCACCCCAAAAAACUUUCC
This 971-nucleotide ribosomal RNA is filed under the name uncultured bacterium. Its description in RNAcentral is "bacterial SSU rRNA". It matches the Rfam family "Bacterial small subunit ribosomal RNA", at positions 8 to 974 of the family's 1533-position model. The record is from RNAcentral.